UCUUUUUUAUUGAUGCUUCGACAACAUGGGCUGAGACACACACAUUUGCUCAUAUGAAUUUAUACCACUGCGUGUUCCAACAUAUACAUACACAAUUCGUUAAAUUAUUGCAUCGCGCUGCACUAGAUGUAAUAAGUAAAUUAACUUAGAAUCGUGUGUUUCAUAUUGUUUGAUAAUUAUUUAAGAAAAUGUUAAUUGUAUAGAAGACUUUUACGGUCCGAUAAUUUAAGUUGACAAGUUAAGCGAUAACUUGCAAAUUUUUGAUAAAACUAUCGCAUUUUUAUUUAUAUCUCAUCUUAAUAAAAAAAUAUUAUUUUUACACCAAGGAAAAAGAAAUGUUUUCAUAAUAAAGGCAAUAAUUUAGCUUUUUAUGACAAAAUCUAUUUUAGAGGAAAUUCGUCUGUUUUUCUAGUAGACAAAUUUAAACAAUAUGAAUCAUUAUAAGUUAACCAUAAAAGAUACGUUUUGGCGAUAAUUUGUACGAUUCAGUAAUAUGACAAAGCAACAAUUUUUUCUUGAGAAAAUACAACGAUGGAAAAAGGUCGUAAUAAAUCUAAGUAUACAAGUGUUACGAUAACACGAUUCUAAUGAAGUGUUCCUCCGUGCAUAAUUGCGUGAUACCUUCAGAUUCGAUAAGCUCCUUCGCACCAUUUAUCAUCAUUGAACUUGAUCUACACGAAUAGUAAUUUUAUCCAAAGUGAGAGAGCGAGAGAAUUGUUUCGUUUUUUUUUUUUUUUUUUAAUUUUCGAUAUCAAACGUCUCGUUUGUGGUGUGUGCUCGUAUUUUUUCUUCUUUUUCUUUUUUGUCUUUCUUUUAUUUCGUUUUGUCCCUUUUUUCUUUUUUUGCAGCAUCGAAAUAUGAAAAAUUCAUUUUCGACCAUUCUAUAUGCAUACAUACAUGCAUACACACACUUACAUAUAUGUAUAUACAUAUAUAUUUGAGGAGAUCCACAUGGGUCGCAAGAAUAGGUUGACAGGAUAGACUCUUCUAAUAGACUUUGCAGACGGACAUAAUAGAAAUAUUUAAUAUAUAGCAUCAUAUAUUAAUAUAAUAUUUAGUAAUAAUAUAAUAUCUAUUAUAUAUUAAUAUGUAUGAUAUUUUUUUGUUUGUUUUUAAUAAUAGCGUCCUUUCUCUUCUCGCUUUGUCUGAGGUGUGAUAUCCAGCGAUUUUCUAAUUUUCCUUACAUUCAAAUUCAGUACACGAUGUAAGUACGAUUUCGCUUCAGCCUUAUUCGGAUACUAAUCCUCAUUGAAUUUAUCAGGCAUUUUGUACGACCUGUUGACUUAUACAACCAUCGUAUGGUUGUUUCACAACGUAUGCGUAUUCUACCGUAGAAACAAAUAUACACGAUUUCUUCCGAAAUGCUCCUAAUCGAAGAUAAAAAUGAAUAAUUUUCAUGUCCGAUCUUAAAUAAAAAGUACCUAAAGUUUACGUAACAAAUUCUUACGAUCAGUUUAUGCAUUUCUUCGAUAAAUUAAACGUGGGGCAGAUGUUGUAUGAAGGAGAAGCAGUGAAUAUCAUAAGAAAGCAUGUUUACUUCUUCUUUGAUUCUUCAGAAGGAUCAACGAGAAUCGAAGAAUUCAUAGGAUCGAAAGACGAUGAUUCGUAAUUUCGUCAUCAGAUUGUUUCACAAAAAUCGGAAGAAUUUAAUUUAAGAUUAAACAGAUUCGAUUUUAAAGGUAAGUGAUAAAUGCGAUAUAUUCACUGAAAGUUCACAGUUUCGUUCGUCAGACGCGAGUUUGGGAUAUCAAACGUCAUGAAACAAUCUGAUAUAUCCAGCCAACGUACAAGAAAUAGAAUCGUUUAAUGUGCCACGAUUUAUUUAAUCGAUAUAAGCAAAAUGUUCCGAGAGAUUUAUUCGACGAACUAAGCGAUUCCCUUAAUCGUCUAAUUGUACUAAGAAAAAUCAAUGUCUGACGCGCACGAUGCUCGCGAACGAGGAGAUCUAAAAUGAUGAUGAUGAUGAUGAUCGUCGAUAAAUAAAAGAUACGCACGGUUACACGCUAAUAGCGAAAAAUUGUCCAGGAACCUUGUUUCAAGCGCGAAUACAGGAGAAAAGUGAAACGCACGAUAUACAAAUGAAACGCGUGGAACAAGUGCAAUUUUUCUACGCGCGAUGAAAAAGAAGCUUGCUCAGUGUCGCGCGAUUUUUGUACAAAAAUGCUUCGCUGUUCCAGCGAAACGAUCUCCACGAACAAAGUUUAUACAAGCAUAUUACGAAGCUUGGAGAAUCGUUCAGAGAUUGAUACACACACACACACAUUGACGUUGUUAAAAAUUGUGCUGGGAAAUGAUAGGAUGGAAGGGAAUAAAGAAGGAGGGAAGGAAGGAAGGAAGGAAGGAAGGAAGGAAG
This is a long non-coding RNA of Bombus pyrosoma, 2353 nucleotides long. RefSeq lists it as uncharacterized. The record is from RefSeq and is a predicted model, not a curated record. Lineage: Eukaryota; Metazoa; Arthropoda; Insecta; Hymenoptera; Apidae. The transcript is spliced from 2 exons.